UGUGCAGUAGGCUUUUCCCUGGGCACCCGCGCCACCGAAAUGUUCGGCCCGGCUCCAAAAAAAGCCCCCCGGCUGUAGAGCUGGUGCUUAAAAAGGUGCAUCUGCUUCCCAGCUGGUUCCUGGCCCGGUUUGAUUUGAACGUGUGGUAGGGCCUUCCCCAGAGCCAUCCUUAACCCCCGCUACAGGCUGCACGUGUGAUGCGGCUCACUGGUGAACGGUGCAAUGAAUGUGGACCGGCCACACCGCAAAGUAAGACGGGACUCAAGUGUGAAGUAAUUAUCAAACAAUUUUGGAAAUCUUAAUGGUGAUGGAUCAGUGAGCAGGACCUGAGAAAUGCUCUGGUUCUGGAAAAGUGAAAGUAAGCAAGAGUCCUAAACUGAGGAGGUUUAUGUGCAAUUAACAUCAUUCACUGGAACAACUUUCCUUUGUUCUUCUGAUUAGACCAUUUCUCCAAAUCACUUCUGAGCCUGAACUGACCUCUAACAAAGACUAAACCUAAGCAGCAGAGACCUGCACUGGAAGCUUCUAUUGGUAUAACUUUUGACAGCUGCCAGCAGUGCACAAUUGGCUGUGUUUACUAGUGAUAGCCAGGAGUGUCACAUCACGAAGAGGCAGUGAAGCAUGGACAAAUAUCCCAUUGUCUCUUCACUGCUACCAGUUGUCUGUGUACCACUGAUGGUACCCAUACCACAGAUUGGGAACCAAUGAUCUAGCACAUGAACAGUGGUGGGGUUGCAAUGCCAGUAGUGAUUCUGAGGGGCCCAGUCUACCAGGCUAUGAAAUCAUUCUCUGAACACUGAACAACAGCAAGGUGCAACUUAAGCAGGGGCUGGAUGAAAUGCUGUUCGCAGGAGGAGGAGGAUAAGGGCAAAGCUUUUGAUUUUGAAGAACCAGACAAGAGCAAUUACAAGAGUCCCUAGAGACACUAUAUGGCUGGGGGAACCCUCACAGCCCCCCUGAAGAGUGUGCCAUUGUACUGCAGCAUACUGCACUCAUAUCUCUGUGGACUUGGCUAGAUAUAGAUUGUAUAGCUGCAGAAACUCUCCCCUGAUAUGUUCUCAUGCUUCCAAGUGCUCAGGCAUCAUGGAAGAGGAAACAGCCCAAGUUAAAAGCAAGUUGUUAAUAAGUAGGGUGGGGAACAGAGCCAGAGAUUAAUGGGGGAAGUGUGGAAGGUAGUACUUGGGACAGAUUAGAGGGCAGGGAUAAUGCAGUAUGCAAUGCCAAACUUACUAGAAAUAGUAAGGCAAAAAGAAGGUUGAUACAUCACCAGACAAAAUCCUAGAGAAGACAUUUGUUCAAGGUGGCUUGAUGGCAUCCUACACCCCAUAUCCAGUGCACUUGAUACAUCAUCUGGAACAGAUGGUUAGUUUUCAACAACUCUUUCGCCAGGCCAUUUUUUAAAUCUGCUUAGGUUAUUAACCUGUACUUUUGUUGGUUUAGUUUUUAAUAUGCUGAUAAAGGUCCUUUAGAAUGACUCUCUUCCUUUUGCCUUAGGGCUGCCCAGACAAGACUUGUUUGGGGAGCCUGUUAUCCAGGAAUCUCAGAAUGUGGCCAAGGCAAGUUUCCCUUCUCA
Molecule: long non-coding RNA, 1573 nt
Organism: Gavialis gangeticus (Gharial)
Lineage: Eukaryota; Metazoa; Chordata; Crocodylia; Gavialidae
Exons: 4
Source: RefSeq, a predicted model, not a curated record